CUGCAGUUUGGUCUCUCUUUAGUCUGGCUUCCUCUGAGACACCUCUGUCAUCGUUCGCCAAGGACAGCUUGGCCAGAAAGGCGUGUGUGUGGUGGAGCUGCUGGCUAAUGGUCUCUCAAGCAAUGCUCUGAUGAGCCGACUCCCCGCUCAGAAACAGCAGAUCAUCAGCGAGGUGGUGAACACUGUGGACCUCUGUAGCAAUGAAAGAAAUACACAUUUCCCUCAGGGGUCGGUGGAGACCAAAACCGAGCUGAAUAUUUUCUCUGCCACAGGACGUCCUGACUGAGCUUCUGACAACAGACGGGCUUACUCUAAUGAACAUGGAGGCCCUGCUUCGUGAGAGGUUAUUUCCCCAGUUCACUGAUGUUGCCAGCUGCGGAGAGAACAGUUAUAGCAACAAGUAAAGCCUCUCAAUGUGUUCGCAGAGAGUUAGA
Long non-coding RNA from Pseudoliparis swirei, 434 nucleotides. RefSeq lists it as uncharacterized. The record is from RefSeq and is a predicted model, not a curated record. NCBI's taxonomy places the organism in Eukaryota, Metazoa, Chordata, Actinopteri, Perciformes, Liparidae. The transcript is spliced from 3 exons.